AAACCAACAGGGAUUGCCUUAGUAACGGCGAGUGAAGCGGCAAAAGCUCAAAUUUGAAAUCUAGCACUUUCAGUGUUCGAGUUGUAAUUUGAAGAAGGUAACUUUGGAAUUGGCUCUUGUCUAUGUUCCUUGGAACAGGACGUCACAGAGGGUGAGAAUCCCGUGCGAUGAGAUGUCCAAUUCUAUGUAAAGUGCUUUCGAAGAGUCGAGUUGUUUGGGAAUGCAGCUCUAAGUGGGUGGUAAAUUCCAUCUAAAGCUAAAUAUUGGCGAGAGACCGAUAGCGAACAAGUACAGUGAUGGAAAGAUGAAAAGAACUUUGAAAAGAGAGUGAAAAAGUACGUGAAAUUGUUGAAAGGGAAGGGCUUGAGAUCAGACUUGGUAUUUUGUGUUCCUUAUUCUUUUUGGAUUUGGUUCCUCACAGCUUACCGGGCCAGCAUCGGUUUGGAUGGUAGGAUAAUGACAUUGGAAUGUAGCUUUGCUUCGGUGAAGUGUUAUAGACUUUGUUGAUACUGCCUAUCUAGACCGAGGACUGCGUCUUUGACUAGGAUGCUGGCGUAAUGAUCUUAAGCCGC
This 572-nucleotide ribosomal RNA is filed under the name Dujonia oleophila. Its description in RNAcentral is "eukaryotic LSU rRNA". It matches the Rfam family "Eukaryotic large subunit ribosomal RNA", at positions 62 to 648 of the family's 3401-position model. Lineage: Eukaryota; Fungi; Ascomycota; Pichiomycetes; Serinales; Debaryomycetaceae. The record is from RNAcentral.